UGUGUAGGCGGAGAAGUAAGCGUUGCGUGAAAGCCCCCGGCUUAACCGGGGAAUUGCGCAACGAACUGCUUUUCUUGAGGCAAGUAGGGGUGCAUGGAACUCUUGGUGGAGCGGUGGAAUGCGUAGAUAUCAAGAGGAACGCCAGUGGAGAAAUCGGUGCACUGGGCUUGUCCUGACGCUGAGAUACGAAAGCGUGGGGAGCGAACG
This 207-nucleotide ribosomal RNA is filed under the name uncultured bacterium. RNAcentral describes it as "partial 16S ribosomal RNA". It matches the Rfam family "Bacterial small subunit ribosomal RNA", at positions 568 to 774 of the family's 1533-position model. The record is from RNAcentral.